CUUUAUGGUCGAUGCUACUGCGUUGUCCCAAGAUGUGUUCGACAGUCUCCUCGUCGCCGCCACAGAGCUCGCAGUUUGGAUCUUCUCCAUAGAGCUCAAAUCUGCGUCUCUGGCCGCAAGUGGCAGCCGGAGGAACUACGGCUAGAAGAUUACGUGACUUCGCUCGGCUCUAAGCUGCAGCCUAACGCCCGCUAUUGUCAGCAGAGAGAGGGAGAGGAAGUGUCCUCCGAGACAGCACACGGGAACCCACACGGCACUCCGAAGGACGUCACUAGGAGGGGGACCCGGUGUGACCCUGAAGACUGGAAGUGCCACCCUGACCAGGCUGAAGCUGACAUGAUUAGCAAGCAUCGUAGCGUGAGUUGAGUGAAAUGACAGCAUAUAUUGACUACUGUGUGGAUGUCCGUGCUUCGUGGCAGUCAUACGAUAACAGUUGUCUUGACGUCACUUGUGUUGAUGGAAGGUUGCCCUAUUAUGUCAUUACGAACUAUUAUUUAUUUUUAUUCAUUUGGGGAGCUCGUGGGCCAUUACAGGGAGUAACUUUGUACAGCAUCCUUGUCUAAGGGCUAUACCAUAUUAAUUUGCUGUUGUGUUUCCUGUUGGAGGAUAAUGACUUAUUUGCAUUGCAUUCCAAAUCUCACUUUUUAAUUACUUCAAUAAUACUUAGUAGCUGGCAUUUGAUGUCAGCUUCUGCCACAUCAACCCAUGACCUUUGAUUGUGUGCCAAACACACCACUAAAUAAAAAUGGAUUCAUUAUUACGUUUCGUUCCUCCAUUGCAUAGGAUAUGGGAAUCCCAGCAAUUACAUUCUCCAACUGUAUUUUGUAAUACUCACAAUUUCAAAUUAUGUUAACAAUUUUAUAAACCUCCGAGUCACUCGUUAACUGAUCAAUUAUUUAAAUAAAUGUCAACUGUUAACCGGUUGCAAGUUUGUAAUUAAUGCACAGCCCCACACUGCAUUACUGUUUGUGUAUAAUAUAAGGAAAUGUUGAGUAAACAUACAGGUUAUUUAAAUAACUUUUAUGUCUGACCCAUUAUAUUCAGUGUUUUCUAGAUAAGUUUGAAGUUAUAUAAGAGAGUGCUCAUCUUAAAAUUAAGCCAUACCACUGGAUGUACACUAGUGUGUGACCUAUACAUAUGUUCCCAGCGAAAUGAAAGAAGUCAUUUAAGAAGGACUAACCACUUGCUUUGCU
Molecule: unclassified non-coding RNA, 1193 nt
Filed under: Ixodes scapularis (black-legged tick)
Lineage: Eukaryota; Metazoa; Arthropoda; Arachnida; Ixodida; Ixodidae
Description: uncharacterized LOC121833945, transcript variant X2
Source: RNAcentral